GAUUUGGAUGUUGAUGAGCCAAGCUGCUGGUAUGGAAGAGGAAUUGGGUCAAAGAAGAUGGGUUUUGAAGAAAGAACUCCAUUGAUGAUUGCUGCCAUGUUUGGAAGCUCCAAGGUUGUCAAGUACUUAAUUGAGACGGGCAAAGUUGAUGUCAACAGGGCUUGUGGUUCAGAUUUGACCACUGCCCUUCACUGUGCCACUGCUGGUGGCUCUUGUUCUUCCCUUGAGACCAUCAAGCUCUUGCUAGAUGGAUCUGCU
This 258-nucleotide unclassified non-coding RNA is filed under the name Hevea brasiliensis (rubber tree). The record is from RNAcentral. Lineage: Eukaryota; Viridiplantae; Streptophyta; Magnoliopsida; Malpighiales; Euphorbiaceae.